This 73-nucleotide transfer RNA is filed under the name Thermoleophilia bacterium. RNAcentral's name for it is "tRNA-Glu". It matches the Rfam family "tRNA". From Rfam's summary of the family: Transfer RNA (tRNA) molecules are approximately 80 nucleotides in length. Their secondary structure includes four short double-helical elements and three loops (D, anti-codon, and T loops). Further hydrogen bonds mediate the characteristic L-shaped molecular structure. tRNAs have two regions of fundamental functional importance: the anti-codon, which is responsible for specific mRNA codon recognition, and the 3' end, to which the tRNAs corresponding amino acid is attached (by aminoacyl-tRNA synthetases). tRNAs cope with the degeneracy of the genetic code in two manners: having more than one tRNA (with a specific anti-codon) for a particular amino acid; and 'wobble' base-pairing, i.e. permitting non-standard base-pairing at the 3rd anti-codon position. RNAcentral also lists the same sequence under 2 other names. Lineage: Bacteria; Bacillati; Actinomycetota; Thermoleophilia. The record is from RNAcentral.
GGCGCAUUCGUCUAGGGGCCUAGGACGCCGCCCUCUCACGGCGGUAACACGGGUUCGAAUCCCGUAUGCGCUA